ACCUUUCUGAGGGCACCAUUACCACAGCUACGUAGCAUCACUGUACAGACAAUAUGGAGCUCUGAUCAGCAAGGCAUGAGUGUUCAGUGGAUGGACUCCAUCUGUACGUUACGCCUAUGUCAGGAAUCUGCUAGUUGGCAAAGACCAGCGGGUCUUCAAGUGCAGCCUCAAGAUGCCACUCAAAGCAAUGAGAGGGUUGGCUCACAGCGCCUGUCCAUCCCCUGGAUGUCCUCUGGACGUGGGAUUCCUUCUCCAGCCUGUCGGUGGCCCAAACACUAAGGGCUCAAAGAUGCCAGUGAGGACCUCAUUCUCAUGGCUGCUGCUCGAAGGCCUCGAGGAUGUGGUUUCUUUAAUGGGACAGAGUUUGAGGGGCCCAUAAUACCAGCUAUUCCUGGACCCGACCUGUGGAUUCAACCUGUGACCCAUGUACUCAAUCUGAAACUGCUUAAGAAGUUCUCAAAUAAAAUCUAUUUUACAGUG
This is a long non-coding RNA of Electrophorus electricus (electric eel), 480 nucleotides long. RefSeq lists it as uncharacterized. Lineage: Eukaryota; Metazoa; Chordata; Actinopteri; Gymnotiformes; Gymnotidae. The record is from RefSeq and is a predicted model, not a curated record.